CCUACGGGAGGCAGCAGUGAGGAAUAUUGGUCAAUGGACGCAAGUCUGAACCAGCCAUGCCGCGUGCAGGAAGACGGCUCUCUGAGUUGUAAACUGCUUUUGUACGAGGGUAAACGCAGAUACGCGUAUCUGUCUGAAAGUAUCGUACGAAUAAGGAUCGGCUAACUCCGUGCCAGCAGCCGCGGUAAUUCGGAGGAUUCAAGCGUUAUCCGGAUUUAUUGGGUUUAAAGGGUGCGUAGGCGUUCGGAUAAGUUAGAGGGGAAAUCCCGAGGCUCAACUUCUGAAUUGCGUCUGAUACUGUUCGGCUAGAGAGUAGUUGAGGUAGGCGGAAUGUAUGGUGUAGCGGUGAAAUGCUUAGAGAUCAUACAGAACACCGAUUGCGAAGGCAGCUUACCAAGCUACUUCUGACGUUGAGGCACGAAAGCGUGGGGAGCAAACAGGAUUAGAUACCCGUGUAGUC
RNAcentral lists this ribosomal RNA (460 nucleotides) under uncultured bacterium. RNAcentral's name for it is "partial 16S ribosomal RNA". It matches the Rfam family "Bacterial small subunit ribosomal RNA", at positions 338 to 795 of the family's 1533-position model. The record is from RNAcentral.